GCCUGGGUCGCUCAGUUGGUUGAGCAUCCGACUCUUGAUUUCAGCUCAGUUCAUGAUCUCAUGGAUUGUGGGUUCAAGUCCCACAUCAGGCU
This 92-nucleotide transfer RNA is filed under the name Felis catus (domestic cat). It matches the Rfam family "tRNA". Rfam says of the family: Transfer RNA (tRNA) molecules are approximately 80 nucleotides in length. Their secondary structure includes four short double-helical elements and three loops (D, anti-codon, and T loops). Further hydrogen bonds mediate the characteristic L-shaped molecular structure. tRNAs have two regions of fundamental functional importance: the anti-codon, which is responsible for specific mRNA codon recognition, and the 3' end, to which the tRNAs corresponding amino acid is attached (by aminoacyl-tRNA synthetases). tRNAs cope with the degeneracy of the genetic code in two manners: having more than one tRNA (with a specific anti-codon) for a particular amino acid; and 'wobble' base-pairing, i.e. permitting non-standard base-pairing at the 3rd anti-codon position. RNAcentral also lists the same sequence under 2 other names. Lineage: Eukaryota; Metazoa; Chordata; Mammalia; Carnivora; Felidae. The record is from Rfam by way of RNAcentral.